AUGAAGGAAGUCAAGGCUCCAGUAUUCUGGGCCUGCCACAUUUGGAGUACAGCCUCUCUCAACUGGAAAAUAGUAAAGGAUGUCUUCUUGCAAUGGCUCCCACCUCGCACUGAAGAAUGAGAUGAAAGCCAUACCUGACAGGUGUCAUCACAGUCCCAAGAGAGAAUGCAAAGAGAACAGAAAGAAAUACUGAUGGCACCAGCACUUUACUACAUUCAG
Molecule: long non-coding RNA, 219 nt
Filed under: Homo sapiens (human)
Lineage: Eukaryota; Metazoa; Chordata; Mammalia; Primates; Hominidae
Description: HSALNT0322216
Source: RNAcentral